GAUGAACGCUGGCGGCGUGCCUAAUACAUGCCAGUCGAGCGAACGGACGAGAAGCUUGCUUCUCUGAUGUUAGCGGCGGACGGGUGAGUAACACGUGGAUAACCUACCUAUAAGACUGGGAUAACUUCGGGAAACCGUAGCUAAUACCGGAUAAUAUUUUGAACCGCAUGGUUCAAAAGUGAAAGACGGUCUUGCUGUCACUUAUAGAUGGUUCCGCGCUGCAUUAGCUAGUUGGUAAGGUAACGGCUUACCAAGGCAACGAUGCAUAGCCGACCUGAGAGGGUGAUAGGCCACACUGGAACUGGGACACGGUCCAGACUCCUACGGGAGGCAGCAGUAGGGAAUCUUCCGCAAUGGGCGAAAGCCUGACGGAGCAACGCCGCGUGAGUGAUGAAGGUCUUCGGAUCGUAAAACUCUGUUAUUAGGGAAGAACAUAUGUGUAAGUAACUGUGCACAUCUUGACGGUACCUAAUCAGAAAGCAACGGCUAACUACGUG
RNAcentral lists this ribosomal RNA (497 nucleotides) under uncultured bacterium. RNAcentral describes it as "partial 16S ribosomal RNA". It matches the Rfam family "Bacterial small subunit ribosomal RNA", at positions 28 to 507 of the family's 1533-position model. The record is from RNAcentral.